GAUUAACGCUGGCGGCGUGCAUAACACAUGCAAGUCGAACGAUGAAACUCAUUAGAUUUCUUCGGAGUGAAACUGAAUGGAUUAGUGGCGAACGGGUGAGUAACGCGUGAGUAACCUGCCUUACACAAGGGGAUAGCCUCUGGAAACGGAGAAUAAUACCCUAUGAAACCAGACAAUCGCAUGAUAAUCUGGUCAAAAUGUUUAGUGGUGUAAGAUGGACUUGCGUCUGAUUAGCUAGUUGGUGAGAUAAAAGCUCACCAAGGCAACGAUCAGUAGCCGGCUUGAGAGAGUGUACGGCCACAUUGGGACUGAGACACGGCCCAGACUCCUACGGGAGGCAGCAGUGGGGAAUUUUGCACAAUGGGGGAAACCCUGAUGCAGCGACGCCGCGUGAUUUAGAAGGCCUUCGGGUUGUAAAAAUCUUUUGUAUAGGAAGAAAAUGACAGUACUAUACGAAUAAGGUCCGGCUAAUUACGUG
RNAcentral lists this ribosomal RNA (478 nucleotides) under uncultured bacterium. Its description in RNAcentral is "partial 16S ribosomal RNA". It matches the Rfam family "Bacterial small subunit ribosomal RNA", at positions 28 to 507 of the family's 1533-position model. The record is from RNAcentral.